Molecule: long non-coding RNA, 1854 nt
Organism: Equus caballus (horse)
Lineage: Eukaryota; Metazoa; Chordata; Mammalia; Perissodactyla; Equidae
Source: Ensembl
CAUGGGUCCUACAAAGAGGCAUGAAGUCUGUCUACGCUUGCGCAGAUCAUCAGUUACCUCACCUCUCCUCACCUCCAAUCACCUCUCCACAUUUCAGACCGCCUUGCCCCCAUCCCAUAAAUAUCCCUGAGUGCCUAUUUUCAGCGAAGUGGAUUUGAGGCUCAUGCUCUCGCUUCCUUGCAUGGCUGCCUUCAUGGAAUGGAGCAUCAGCGUGGGUGUCCAUCCAUGAGAAGCAGCAACUUAGGAAACCGUUGGAACGACUGAGCUCACCUGUGACCACUCAGCUGGAGACAACAGACUGCCACCCUGCUGUGUUCACUGAGACAGAAGACCUACCUGCUGUUUCCAUCAAUCACUGUGCCGACAGAGCAGUCUCGCGACUAUUGUAAAAGGGACAUUUCAAUCCUAUGUGAAACAUCCUCUCUGGAGUGAGGAAGAUUGGCCCUGAGCUAAGAGCACAGCUUGAUGAGAGUGCCUCUGCUCCUCGGGACGGAGGGAACACGGGAGAGGGAGACCUCCGGCGGUGGCGGCUGCCCGCAAUGCACUGUCGGGGAGUCCCCGAGGGAGGAAACGACUUAAAGCAGUUACUCCCUGAAAGUCUGCUUGCGAAGGAAGCUAAAUUUACUGUGAGGAUUCAGGCUAUAGUUUUUUUGUAGACUUUAUUUUUUAGAGCAGUUUUAGGUUCCCAGCAAAAUGGGCGGAAAGUACAGAGCUCCCCUAUGCUGUCCCCCACCCCCAGCCACAGCUUCCCUCGCUGUGGACAUACCCCCGGGAGAGCGGUACGUUUGUUACAAUCAACAACUUACAGUGACACAUCAUUAUCACUCAGAGUCCAUAGUUUACUUUAGGGCUCAGGCGUGGUGGUGUACGUUCUGUGGGUUUGAUAAAUGUUUAAUGACAUGUCUCCACCAUAGUAGUUCCAUCCAGAGUAGUUUCACUGCCCUAAAAUGCUCUGUGUCCGCCUAGUCAUCAAUCCCUUCCCCGAACUCCUGGCAACCACUGAUCUUUUUACUGUCUCCAUAGUUUUGCCUUUUCCAGAAUGUCAUCUAGUUGGUGUCAUGCAGUUUGCAGCCUUUCAGAUUGGCUUGUUUCACUUAGCAAUAGGCAUUCAAGUUCCUCCAUGUCUUUUCAUGGCUUGAUAUCUCAUUUCCUUUUAAUGUUAAAUAGUAUUCCAUUCUCUGCAUGUGCUACAGUUUAUUUAUCCUUUCACCUGCUGGAGGACAUUUUGGCUGCUUCCAAGUCUUGGCAAUUAUGAAUAAAGCUGUGAUCAACAUCCAUGUGCAGGUUUUUCUGUGGACAUAAGUUUUCCAGGCUAUAAUUUUUUAUCUUUAGUCCUUAGUAUCCGAGAACAGUAGCUGGUAAAAUUUGACCCAAGCAGUACAGCUGUAAAUCUAGUUCCUGCCAUGCCUCCUCACCAAGGCAACCAUCCCAAAUGUUAGCAAAGUCAAUACAAAGGUUGAAAGAACCAUGGCGGAAGUAUUUAACCAUAUUAUCCAGAGUUUAUUGUACUUGGAAACAAUUAGUCCACGAGUAUGCAGUAAGUACAGACUAAAUGCAAUCACAAACUUCCUUUUGAUUGCCUGAGACCUUGAAACAUGCCAUGGUUGCUUUUAACUAUAAAUAGUUUAGGCUGUAAUUAUGGAAGAAACAAUGUGGAAAUGGUUUGCACAAGGACUUUUAUAAAGGUUGUGACAACUGAACCAGUUGGUAGCGCCCAAGAUAAUCUUAAUUCAGAUCCUGGUAACAAGUUAGCACCAAAGACCCGAGAUUAGUAGAUUCGUAGAACUGAAGCCCCCAGAUAGCCGGAGAAGAAAAUCCAGUAUGUGUUUCAAUGAAAUAUAUAAUUCUUAAAAA